Molecule: ribosomal RNA, 810 nt
Filed under: uncultured bacterium
Lineage: Bacteria
Description: bacterial SSU rRNA
Rfam family: Bacterial small subunit ribosomal RNA
Source: RNAcentral
GAAUUCGCCCUUAGAGUUUGAUCCUGGCUCAGGACGAACGCUGGCGGCGUGCUUAACACAUGCAAGUCGAACGAGAAUCUGCGGAUAGAGGAUUCGUCCAAUUGAAGCAGAGGAAAGUGGCGGACGGGUGAGUAACGCGUGAGGAUCCUGCCUUGGAGAGGGGGACAACAGCUGGAAACGGCUGCUAAUACCGCAUGAUGCAUAUUAGUCGCAUGGCUGAUAUGCCAAAGAUUUAUCGCUCUGAGAUGGCCUCGCGUCUGAUUAGGUAGUUGGCGGGGUAACGGCCCACCAAGCCGACGAUCAGUAGCCGGACUGAGAGGUUGAACGGCCACAUUGGGACUGAGAUACGGCCCAGACUCCUACGGGAGGCAGCAGUGGGGAAUAUUGGGCAAUGGGCGCAAGCCUGACCCAGCAACGCCGCGUGAAGGAAGAAGGCUUUCGGGUUGUAAACUUCUUUUAAGGGGGAAGAGGAGAAGACGGUACCCCUAGAAUAAGCCACGGCUAACUACGUGCCAGCAGCCGCGGUAAUACGUAGGUGGCAAGCGUUGUCCGGAUUUACUGGGUGUAAAGGGCGUGUAGCCGGGGGAGCAAGUCAGAUGUGAAAUCUAUGGGCUUAACCCAUAAACUGCAUUUGAAACUGUUCUUCUUGAGUGCUGGAGGGGCAAUCGGAAUUCCUUGUGUAGCGGUGAAAUGCGUAGAUAUAAGGAGGAACACCAGUGGCGAAGGCGGAUUGCUGGACGACAACUGACGGUGAGGCGCGAAAGCGUGGGGAGCAAACAGAAAUAGAUACCCUGGUAGUCCACGCUGUAA